AUACGGAGGGGGCGAGCGUUGUUCGGAUUUACUGGGCGUAAAGGGCGUGUAGGCGGGCGAUCAAGUCAGGGGUGAAAGGCCUGGGCUCAACCUAGGAACUGCCUUUGAAACUGAUUGUCUAGAGUCCGGGAGAGGAUGGCGGAAUUCCCAGUGUAGAGGUGAAAUUCGUAGAUAUUGGGAAGAACACCGGUGGCGAAGGCGGCCAUCUGGACCGGCACUGCCGCUGAGGCGCGAAAGCGUGGGGAGCAAACAGGAUUAGAAACCCCAGUAGUCC
Molecule: ribosomal RNA, 274 nt
Filed under: uncultured bacterium
Lineage: Bacteria
Description: partial 16S ribosomal RNA
Rfam family: Bacterial small subunit ribosomal RNA
Source: RNAcentral